GACAGCGUAGUCAAGUGUGGAGUGAGCCAUGUUAAAGGUUCUGGAGAGGAGACGAUGACCACCUGGGUCGGGCACCACUCUGCUAUAUAUAUGUGCCUCAUUUGGCAUCCACUUUGCCUGUCUGCUGCUGGGUUUCCAUCUGUCGACUCUCAACAUAAUGUCAGAGAUAAAAACUGAAGACUCCAUGGCUUCAAAAUGCAUUUUUUCUGCUGGCUGCCUGAUGGCUGUCUGGGGACAUAAAAUUUAGAAAGCAACCCUUGCAGACUGACCCUCUUAUUGGUAUGUACAUUUUAAUUUUGACUCUGCACAAUGUCUAUUUCAUCUAAUCAAAGUGUAAAUCCAGGAAAAGCCUUGAAAGUUUACAGGUACAAACAUGGAAGGACACCGUCUGUCACUUAUCAGAAUGAAAUUACAUAUAUGUUUGUGCUAAACUUUAUAAUUUUUUACCUAAUGCACCCAGAAUCCAUACUAAUAGCUGAAAUGCAAUGUAAUAUUAACAUGAAUUCAAUUUUUACUGUACCAACACAUCUAAAUAUUUUCAGGAUAAAUAGAAAUAGAUAUAGUGCUUUGAAAUUGUUGUCUAUUUGUAUUUCAAAUCCCCCAAAUUCAUGAACAUUAUUGUCUGCAUCAUCUUUAACUGUUUACGUGCAGCUCGCAUUUAAAAAAAACAUUAAAGAGCUAUCACUAAGCAUCUAGUUAGUUGUGUUCUUCCUUCUUUUCAGUCUUAUAAUUUGAAACAACCUUAUUCUUCUUUCUUGGGCAUUCAGAGACAUUUUAAGUUGGUUUCAGGACUUCCCCAUGAUUGUUUCAACAUAUCCUUCCUGAUACAAUGAAGGAUCAAGCAUAACUUGAAAAAACUGAAAAACCAAGGAGCUUCUUUGACGGGGAAUAGACUUCCCACCCCCAUGCUAUCUGAGAUCAUUUUGUAGGGGUUAACCUUUGCCAAGAAAACAGAAUUUCAUGGUCUGUCUUCAGAACUUGAUUUUAACAUCUUGGAGACAAGACAAUAUUAAGAUUUGUUUACCUAAAUAACUGGUGUGUGUGUGUGUCCACACAUGUACACAGACACAUGUAUGCAUGCCAAUAUAUACACAUUUGUUACUAAAAUUAUGGCUUUUAAAUACUAUUGUCAACCCUGCCCCCAUGGACUGCCUUGACUUAUGUUAGUGUGUGCUCACUUCUGUUUCAGUGUAGGUGAAACCUGUGAGUGUCCACAACUAAUAGGUAAUGGUGUGUUGCUAGUAUUCUUAAUUUACAUUAUUAAUAAAACUGUCUUAGAUAUUUUCCUGAACUAAUAGCCAUGUUGUGCUCCCAUUAGGUUAAGAAACAGUACCUACUAAUCACAAAGCUGAAAAAAGACCCCAGUCAAAUAGAGUUUAAAAAAAAAAAAGAAAG
RNAcentral lists this long non-coding RNA (1395 nucleotides) under Mus musculus (house mouse). Its description in RNAcentral is "long non-coding RNA chr16:70154777-70156172". Lineage: Eukaryota; Metazoa; Chordata; Mammalia; Rodentia; Muridae. The record is from RNAcentral.